UGAGGAAUAUUGCGCAAUGGGGGAAACCCUGACGCAGCAACGCCGCGUGGGUGAAGAAGGCCUUCGGGUCGUAAAGCCCUUUCGGACGGGACGAACGCUCCGCGGUGACAACCCGCGGAGUCUGACGGUACCGUAAGAAGAAGCACCGGCUAACUCCGUGCCAGCAGCCGCGGUAAUACGGAGGGUGCAAGCGUUGUUCGGAAUUACUGGGCGUAAAGCGCGUGUAGGCGGCCUUGCAAGCCAGACGUGAAAGCCCUCGGCUUAACCGGGGAAGUGCGUCUGGAACUGCUCGGCUCGAGUACGGGAGAGGGAGGCGGAAUUCCCAGUGUAGAGGUGAAAUUCGUAGAUAUUGGGAGGAACACCGGUGGCGAAAGCGGCCUCCUGGACCGAUACUGACGCUGAGACGCGAAAGCGUGGGGAGCAAACAGGAUUAGACACCCUGGUAGUCCACGCCGUAAACGAUGGGCACUAGGUGUAGGAGGUAUUGACCCCUUCUGUGCCGAAGCUAACGCAUUAAGUGCCCCGCCUGGGGAGUACGGCCGCAAGGCUA
This 550-nucleotide ribosomal RNA is filed under the name uncultured bacterium. RNAcentral's name for it is "bacterial SSU rRNA". It matches the Rfam family "Bacterial small subunit ribosomal RNA", at positions 355 to 896 of the family's 1533-position model. The record is from RNAcentral.